RNAcentral lists this ribosomal RNA (88 nucleotides) under Actinorugispora endophytica. Lineage: Bacteria; Bacillati; Actinomycetota; Actinomycetes; Streptosporangiales; Nocardiopsidaceae. The record is from RNAcentral.
CGGUCCCAUUCCGAACCCGGAAGUUAAGCUCUCAAGCGCCGAUGGUACUGCCUCCGUGCUGGGGUGGGAGAGUAGGACGCCGCCGUAC